UACGUAGGGGGCUAGCGUUGUCCGGAAUCAUUGGGCGUAAAGAGCGUGUAGGCGGUUCGGUAAGUCCGCUGUGAAAGUCCAGGGCUCAACCCUGGAAUGCCGGUGGAUACUGUCGGGCUAGAGUCCGGAAGAGGCGAGUGGAAUUCCUGGUGUAGCGGUGAAAUGCGCAGAUAUCAGGAGGAACACCAGCGGCGAAGGCGGCGCUCUGGGCCGAUACUGACGCUGAGGAGCGAAAGCGUGGGGAGCGAACAGG
Molecule: ribosomal RNA, 253 nt
Filed under: uncultured bacterium
Lineage: Bacteria
Description: partial 16S ribosomal RNA
Rfam family: Bacterial small subunit ribosomal RNA
Source: RNAcentral